UGGCUCCAGAUUGAACGCUGGCGGCAGGCUUAACACAUGCAAGUCGAGCGGAAACGAAGAUAGCUUGCUAUCAGGCGUCGAGCGGCGGACGGGUGAGUAACGCGUAGGAAUCUACCUAGUAGUGGGGGAUAGCCCAGAGAAAUUUGGAUUAAUACCGCAUACACUCUACGGAGAAAAGCAGGGGAUCUUAGGACCUUGCGCUAUUAGAUAAGCCUGCGUGGGAUUAGCUAGUUGGUGGGGUAAAGGCCCACCAAGGCGACGACCUUUAGCUGGUCUGAGAGGAUGAUCAGCCACAUUGGGACUGAGACACGGCCCAAACUCCUACGGGAGGCAGCAGUGGGGAAUAUUGGACAAUGGGCGAAAGCCUGAUCCAGCCAUGCCGCGUGUGUGAAGAAGGCCUUAGGGUUGUAAAGCACUUUCAGUAGGGAGGAAAAGUUAGUCGUUAAUAACGGCUAACCCUGACGUUACCUACAGAAGAAGCACCGGCAAACUCCGUGCCAGCAGCCGCGGUAAUACGGAGGGUGCGAGCGUUAAUCGGAAUUACUGGGCGUAAAGCGCGCGUAGGCGGCCUGAUAAGUUGGAUGUGAAAGCCCUGGGCUCAACCUGGGAACUGCAUUCGAUACUGUCUGGCUAGAGUAUAGUAGAGGGAAGUGGAAUUCCGAGUGUAGCGGUGAAAUGCGUAGAGAUCUGAAGGAAUACCGGUGGCGAAGGCGGCCCCCUGGAUUGAUACUGACACUGAGGUGCGAAAGCGUGGGUAGCAAACAGGAUUAGAUACCCUGGUAGUCCACGCCGUAAACGAUGUCUACUAGCCGUUGGAAUCCUUAGAGGUUUUAGUGGCGCAGCUAACGCAAUAAGUAGACCGCCUGGGGAGUACGGCCGCAAGGCUAAAACUCAAAUGAAUUGACGGGGGCCCGCACAAGCGGUGGAGCAUGUGGUUUAAUUCGACGCAACGCGAAGAACCUUACCUACUCUUGACAUCCUCGGAACUUAGCAGAGAUGCUUAGGUGCCUUCGGGAACUGUGAGACAGGUGCUGCAUGGCUGUCGUCAGCUCGUGUUGUGAAAUGUUGGGUUAAGUCCCGUAACGAGCGCAACCCUUAUCCUUAUUUGCCAGCGGGUCAUGCCGGGAACUCUAAGGAGACUGCCGGUGACAAACCGGAGGAAGGUGGGGACGACCUCAAGUCAUCAUGGCCCUUACGAGUUGGGCUACACACGUGCUACAAUGGCCGGUACAGAGGGCUGCAAACCCGCGAGGGCAAGCUAAUCUGAGAAACCUGGUCGUAGUCCGGAUCGCAGUCUGCAACUCGACUGCGUGAAGUCGGAAUCGCUAGUAAUCGUGAAUCAGAAUGUCACGGUGAAUACGUUCCCGGGCCUUGUACACACCGCCCGUCACACCAUGGGAGUGGAUUGCACCAGAAGUAGCUAGCUUAACCUUCGGGAGAGCGGUUACCACGGUGUGGUUCAUGACUGGGGUGAAGUCGUAACAAGGUAGCCG
RNAcentral lists this ribosomal RNA (1493 nucleotides) under uncultured prokaryote. Its description in RNAcentral is "partial 16S ribosomal RNA". It matches the Rfam family "Bacterial small subunit ribosomal RNA". The record is from RNAcentral.